RNAcentral lists this ribosomal RNA (776 nucleotides) under uncultured Neocallimastigales. RNAcentral's name for it is "partial large subunit ribosomal RNA". It matches the Rfam family "Eukaryotic large subunit ribosomal RNA", at positions 22 to 616 of the family's 3401-position model. Lineage: Eukaryota; Fungi; Neocallimastigomycota; Neocallimastigomycetes; Neocallimastigales. The record is from RNAcentral.
CUAUACAUGACUCUGCGCAUAUCAAUAAGCGGAGGAAAAGAAACUAACAAGGAUUCCCCUAGUAACGGCGAGUGAAGCGGGAAGAGCUCAAAUUUGAAGUCUUAAAGGAGUUUCCCUUUACGAAUUGUAGUUUAAAGAAGUGUUUUCUGUUGAGGUUUUGGUAAAAGUUCUUUGGAAUAGGACAUCAUAGAGGGUGAGAAUCCCGUAUUUGACCUUUACUUUCAACUUUGUGAUACACUUUCAAAGAGUCGGAUUGUUUGGGAAUGCAGUCCAAAAUGGGUGGUAAAUUUCAUCUAAAGCUAAAUAUUGGCGAGGAGACCGAUAGCGAACAAGUACCGUGAGGGAAAGAUGAAAAGAACUUUGAAAAGAGAGUUAAACAGUACGUGAAAUUGUCAAAAGGGAAGCGUUUGACACCAGUGUUGUUUUUCUGAAAAUCAAUUAAAGAACUGUUUAUGCUAAGUUGUUUAGACUUUAUCAGCUAACUGUUUAGUUUUGAGCUUUUCUUUAAUGCACUUUUCAGUUAACAAGUCAACAUCAAUUUCUUUUGCUGUAAAAAAGCUUGAGGAAGGUGGCUUGAGAUUCGUCUUAAGUGUUUAUAGCCUCUUGCCUAUGCAGUCGGAGAGAUUGAGGUCUGCAGCGUAGAUCCUUCGGGGCUAAAUGCAUUUGUGCUAAGUUAUAGCAUUUUAUAGACAACUUGUUGACUAUGAUUUGUCUUGUAGCUUACUCGCUUAUGUUAUUUUACCUACGCUUAGGAUGUUGAGCGCAUGUCUCUCUCU